AUGUUUUAUUUUUACCUUCUCUUUUCACAGCUUUCAAGAAAAGAACAAAUAAUAUCAUUGAUGGAGAUCAAAAAGAAAUCUUGGGAUUACGUGACCCUCAUCCUGAUUCCUGCAAGGACCUCUGCACUCUAUGAGCUCUGGCAGCCCCAAGCUGCAGUUUGGAAAUUAUGUAGAUACACAUGCAAAUCCUCCCUGAAAGCCCUGGAAAAAAGAGAACACCAAGAACAUCAUCAUCUUGGAGGGCUUCCUUGAGAGAAGACCCAUAUCGGGAGGAAGCAGGGAAGAUGGACAGACGGACAUCCCUUCCUUAAGGAAUGGGGUAGAAAACAGAAGGAAAGGCUGGCGCAAUGCUCAGGAGGGAUUAUCCACCCGGCCGAGGCCAGAUGCAGUCGUGGGGGCAAGGCUAAAGCCGGAGCUUUUAGCUCUGACCGAAUCUUGGGCUGGGAUCCUUGCAACAGCAAGUUCAAAGGUCGGUCUUUUGUUUGGCGUGCGCUGCGUUAAUUUGUCAAGUUUUAUCUCUCCCUGCUACCCGAGCAGCUGCAGCGUGUGUAAAAUGCUCCCGGGUCCGCCAGCCUUCAGCUGGAAAGCAACAAAAGCGGGGGCCUGCAGCCUUUUUCAUGUAAAUGCUUGUUAGCGGCGUAAUUGUCUCGCGAACCCAACCGAAGGCACUUAAAUGGCUUUAAAGGGUCGCAGUUAGGUGCUUUUGACAGCCGCCGUGACAGCUCCAGUCCUACCGAGCUUGUCCUGGCAUCCGUGUGCUCGUCACAAUGGUUUUACUAUCAAAUUGAGCCUUUUUAAUUGCUUAACAUCAGCUAAUAGACACUUAAGAUGAAGUAAUUUCCUUUUUAUUUUCCUACCCGGGCUCUGCUGAUCAAUGUUGGAUGAGAUCACCUGCAUUUUAUUUGGGGGUCAAUGGAAAAAAUGGCAACGUCCACCUCGGGCUUUUUUUUUUUCCCUUUCCCUUUGAACGGGGUGGGAUUUCUGCAGAACAAUUAACAUUCAUUUGCUAAGUGUUUUUGCAAGCAUGUUUACAAGAAAUGCAAAUACCCCAGGACUAUGGUGUUUUUGUUUUCUAGGGUUCACCUAAAAUGAGGCCCUGAUGCCGUGGAGGCUUUAUGUAUGCCUUUAGCUCUCUGCUCAUGGUGAAACUAUGUGGAUGGCUGUGUGCAUGAAGCUGUACAUUUCUGCAAGUCUCGGCGCUGAGAUGCAGGGAUCUUCAGCUUUCUAAAAAAGCUCUUGUAUCACAGCUUAAAAAUAGAGGCUGUUUAGACCUCUCAGGGUGUCAUGGAAGGGAAUUUUGGUGUAGUGCAGCCGUCCCAGCGGAUAAAGUGAGUCUCUGAUGUCAGUCUCCCACUAAGAUAACCCAAAGGCACUGACGCCUCCAGGACAGUAUUGUUUCACAGCAAACCGUCUGCUCACAGAGCAAACACGAUAGUGGGGUGUUAAUUUAUGAAGUGGUGGCCGAGUUCCCGACCAGAAGCAGCAGAGACAUUUUGCAUUUGAAACAUGACGGUCUGCCCGAGCUCCGUAGGGUUCAGCCUUUACCAUGUUUCAGGAUCUGCCCUUCCCACAUGUAUCUGGAGUUCUCAAACCCAGUGAGAGUCACCAGGAGAUGUGGGGACAUCAGAUGGGUUCCUCUCGCCUCUCUCCAAAUGCCUGGUUUUUGUUUAGCUUGUAGGCACAGAGCGCCAGCGAGACAACUCUCCUCCCUCUGUUGGCUUUGCGUGAAGUUGGCCAACACAUCCAGGAGGGCUUAUGGGAGGACAGGCAAAUGAACAUAAGCUUUCCCUCAGAAACGAAGCUAAAAAUGCAUUUACUCCUUUCAAAACCAAUUAAUGGACUUCAAAGACUAAAACCGGUGGAUGGCUUGGGCUGUGGAAAAUAUUGGGAUAUGAUGGUGAGAAGGGAUAAAUUUAGCAGGAUGGGACAAACCAACCUGAAGACCCCAUCCCACAUCACAAAAAUAGCCCCUUGAGGGCAUUCACUUGGAAAGUCUUUGCUUAAUUGCAGCCUAAUUGCUGUUGUGGGUCCAGUUCUCAUGCCUUUUGAAGAUGUCUUGAGACUAGCCAGUGGAAAACUGCUCUUAAACAUGUUUUUUUAAGAUAUCGGGCCAAGCCAAAUGAAAUAUGCCAGGGAGUCAUGGAAAUGAUUGGAGCCUAUCAAGAUGCAGGGGCAAGGAAACUCAUAUCUUUUUCCCUCAAGUGGGGAGAAUUAACUGCAUGUGAACAGGGAUGUUGAGAGUCCUGGAAAUAGUCACGGGGAUGGCAGCACCAAACACAGGCACGGUUUAAGCCUUGGCCUUUUUCACUUCAUACCUCGGAGCAAAGAAACUUCUGCUUGCAAGAUGAUGCCCGCAUGAUCACCCAAAUCCCCAUCCAGGGCUGAAGAUGCUGCAGCCACCACGGGCAUGGCAGCAGGUCGGGCUUCAGCAGAGGUGCAUUAAUAAAAUCACCCUUGUUCAAGGUUACGGUGCGAGU
Anser cygnoides (Swan goose) is the source of this 2477-nucleotide long non-coding RNA. The record is from Ensembl. NCBI's taxonomy places the organism in Eukaryota, Metazoa, Chordata, Aves, Anseriformes, Anatidae.